This 69-nucleotide transfer RNA is filed under the name Echymipera clara (Clara's echymipera). RNAcentral describes it as "tRNA-Glu". It matches the Rfam family "tRNA". Rfam says of the family: Transfer RNA (tRNA) molecules are approximately 80 nucleotides in length. Their secondary structure includes four short double-helical elements and three loops (D, anti-codon, and T loops). Lineage: Eukaryota; Metazoa; Chordata; Mammalia; Peramelemorphia; Peroryctidae. The record is from RNAcentral.
GUUUUUAUAGUUGAAAUACAACAAUGGUUUUUCAUGCCAUAAGUCAUGGUUUGAGUCCAUGUAAAAAUA